This is a long non-coding RNA of Eriocheir sinensis (Chinese mitten crab), 3152 nucleotides long. RefSeq lists it as uncharacterized. The transcript is spliced from 8 exons. The record is from RefSeq and is a predicted model, not a curated record. NCBI's taxonomy places the organism in Eukaryota, Metazoa, Arthropoda, Malacostraca, Decapoda, Varunidae.
UAGGAAGCCAUCGCAAAAUUAGUGUCGGAGUGUGGCUGGCCGGGGGAAGGACGUGACGGUCUUCAAGAAACGGCUGUUCAUCAAGACCGCUGGAGCCAUGGAGGUCGUUUCUCUGGGAGCCUUGAGAGGAACGCGGGGAAUGGAUCACGGCGUCGCUGUUGAAGCCUCGACCCGCGCUUCUGAAAACUGAACCACCACAUCAAACUCUGCGUCACCCGUCUGUACCCGGGUAGUUCUUGGAGGCUGGUCGUCUAGCAAUGCAGCAGUGGACAGUCAGCAGUGUCAUGGACCAAAAACAUCCUGCUGGCCACCCAUACAAGACACCAUUGCACACGGGACAGUCAGCAGUGUCAUGGACCAAAAACAUCCUGCUGGCCACCCAUACAAGACACCAUUGCACACGGGACAGUCAGCAGUGUCAUGGACCAAAAACAGACUGCUGGCCACCAAUACAAGACACCAUUGCCUACACAUCCGCCCCCGGAGUCUGGUAGCUCGUCAUUCCUCGGUGUGGCUGAGGUGCCGUCCCAGCGUUUUGUAAGACUCGUGUGAUCUGCAGUGUGGCAUUUACUGAGCUGUCGUGUUCCUAAGAGUUCGAAAGACUCCCCCCAUUGACUUUUUCUUUCUUUUUUUUUUUUAAUAUUUUUGUGCAAGUGGAAUUUAAGUGUUUGUUCUCCGGAGACACUUUGAAGUAAAAUAAACACUUAAUAUGGUUAUAAAUCUAAUGUUUCACAAGUACCUCUUCCCCAAGGAUGGAAUUUACUCCAGAAAAAGUUCAACAAACCCUGAACCGGACGACACUUCUGGAAACUCUGAACCCGUUGAAUGAAAUUGCUUUUUCAAAAUUACAACUUUGUUCACAUAAUUUUAAGUACAAUUGACAAAGUUCUGGGUAUCAUCCAUUCAACAUGCCACCUAAAUCAAUACCCAAUAUGACCUGCCUGUUGGCCCAUAGUUCCAAAAGCAAAGAAUUGGCAUCAUUGUGGCUUAAGUUUACCAAUGAGUGAUGAGAGAGUGAAGAUGCCCCUUACCUCUUGCACUGGAAAGUUGGACAGCACAGGAAUACGCUUCUAGGAGGUCUUGUGAGGCAGGGGUAAGCAGAGCCAUAAUAGAGGAAAGUUUACCAAUGAGUGAUGAGAGAGUGAAGAUGCCCCUUACCUCUUGCACUGGAAAGUUGGACAGCACAGGAAUAAGCUUCUAGGAGGUCUUGUGAGGCAGGGGUAAGCAGAGCCAUAAUAGAGGAAAGUUUACCAAUGAGUGAUGAGAGAGUGAAGAUGCCCCUUACCUCUUGCACUGGAAAGUUGGACAGCACAGGAAUUAAGCUUCUAGGAGGUCUUGUGAGGCAGGGUUAAGCAGAGCCAUAAUAGAGGAAAUACUUUAUAGUUAUUUAUUUACAUCCUUAAUACUAGUGUAGAAAUGUAUUACAAAAAACACGCAAUGACUGAGGAAGGGGGCCAGAGACAGCUCCUUCAGGAAGCAAGGUCAACACCCCUCGACUACACGGACCAUAGUGUUGGGGAGUGUUGUGGACAGCACUUGAGGUAUAUGGCUGUGGUCACAUGGGGGGAUGGGGUGUUGAGUGAGGAGGUGGUUUAGGGAUGGUGAGGGAUUGAGGAGAGCUGUUGGGGUGGAUGUGUUGGCUAGGAGGUACAGAGAUUAAGGUGGAGAGGGAUUGAGGAGAGCUGUUGGGGUGGAUGUGUUGGCUAGGAGGUACAGAGAUUAAGGUGGAGAGGGAUUGAGGAGAGCUGUUGGGGUGGAUGUGUUGGCUAGGAGGUACAGAGAUUAAGGUGGAGAGGGAUUGAGGAGAGCUGUUGGGGUGGAUGUGUUGGCUAGGAGGUACAGAGAUUAAGGAGGGAUUGAGGAGAGCUGUUGGGGUGGAUGUGUUGGCUAGGAGGUACAGAGAUUAAGGUGGAGAGGGAUUGAGGAGAUUGGGGUGGAUGUGUUGGCUAGGAGGUACAGAGAUUAAGGUGGAGAGGGAUUGAGGAGAGCUGAGGACCCACCAGACACGCCAGAGACAUCAUGGGGGAAGUGUGAACCUCAAAUUGAUGUGGAUACAGGUUUUUGUUCUCUGGGGAAGGUAACUUUGCCAAAAUGGGGUCUGAAGAGAAGGAUGUGAUUAAAGAACAGACCACUGGAGGGGCUGUGGCAAGGGACAGGAAGGGUUGGAAGUGUCAUUGACCGUUUAACCUUGUGAAAUAAUGGGAGAAAUGGAGUGACCCUGUCCAACCCCUUAAGGGAAAAUAAAGAUGUUAAAUGAAGAUGGAGAUGAUGAUGAUGUGGUCUGAGGGAAGGUGGUGUCUGUCCUGGCCGCCCCUUUGAGUGUAGACCCCAAGGAAACCAAGCAUCAGAUACACACACAACUAUCUAAGCUUCAUGUGAAUUUCCUUAAGCCUCGACCCUUUCCUGCUGCAGCUGUAGACCAUAGAACACACUAAGCCUUGACCCUUUCCUGUUGCAGCCGUAUGACCACAGAACACACUGUAUAUGCUCCUGUAAAGACCGGUUUUGUUAGAGCUUUUAGACAUGAGGUCAACUUUACCAUGGAUAACACUUGGUGGGUCUCAUUGGAGUUUUACCUGAGCACAAACAGCAGUGGAGAUGAUAUUUGUACAAUGAAACCUUACUUAUUAUAUACAUUUUACAACUAUAAGGAGUAUUUCCCAUCAAAUUUGGCUCCGUCACAGUGCAAAUUUUAACUAUCAGGAGUAUUUCCCAUCAAAUUUGGCUCCGUCACAGUGCAAAUUUUAACUAUCAGGAGUAUUUCCCAUCAAAUUUGGCUCCGUCAGUGCCAAUUAUAACUAUCAGGAGUAUUUCCCAUCAAAUUUGGCUCCGUCACAGUGCCAAGAGUCCGGGAGUAUCGGGGAAUAAAAUAAGAGAAUGGCCAUCUCCUGACUGACAUGAAUUAGGAAGCAAAGAUUCCUAGGCAUUCACGAAAUAUAUCAAGGCUCAAUGACCCUAUCAGGCCCCCUACACUCAUGCCCCAAAGAUGCCCCGAGUCCCAUCUAGCUGAACACACCACACAUCAGAACCAUCAAGAAGUCCACAGCUCUAGACUUUAACCCGGUAGCAGCGACGGGCCAAAUUUGUGGUUUUACCGUGUAGCAGCGACGGGCCAAAUUUGUGGCUUUACCGUGUAGCAGCGACGGGCCAAA